Molecule: non-coding RNA, 26 nt
Filed under: Rattus norvegicus (Norway rat)
Lineage: Eukaryota; Metazoa; Chordata; Mammalia; Rodentia; Muridae
Source: RNAcentral
GGCUAUCAACCAAUAUGUCAGCAUGC